Molecule: unclassified non-coding RNA, 249 nt
Filed under: plant metagenome
Description: partial contains small subunit ribosomal RNA, internal transcribed spacer 1, and 5.8S ribosomal RNA
Rfam family: 5.8S ribosomal RNA (bases 201-249)
Source: RNAcentral
UCUCCGUAGGUGAACCUGCGGAGGGAUCAUUACAGAGUUCUCGCCCUCGCGGGUAGAUCUCCCACCCACUGUUAUCGUUACUGUGUUGCUUUGGCGGACCGCCGGGCCCCGCUCGGCCGCCGGCUCCGGCUGGCGCGCGCCCGCCAGAGGCCCAGCAAACUCUGAAUGUUAGUGUCGUCUGAGUACUAUAUAAUAGUUAAAACUUUCAACAACGGAUCUCUUGGUUCUGUCAUCGAUGAAGAACGCAGC